AUUCGUAGUCAUUUAGUAGCUCGACCCACUAUUGUGGUCUCAUGUUGAAUUCUACCUGGUAGAAUACAUGAUGUUGGCUNGAUAACGAAUUUCAAAUUCGUAGUCAUUUAGUAGCUCGACCCACUGUCGUGGUCUCAUGUUGAAUUCUACCUGGUAGAAUACAUGAUGCUGGCUUUUGCUCCGAAGUUCCUGAUCAGACUCAUACUUGGCUCAUCCAUCAUCACCUCGUGUAUACAAGUCGUAUAUAAUUUAGAUUUCCCAAAACGUUCAGAUGGGUGACUCUGCCCCACGUCCACAACCAAACAAGGAACAGGAGAUCUUGUUAAGUCUAACUUAUAUACCACCCUCGUGUAUACACUUAGCAACGAUAGAUCAAGUUAAUGAGUUCUUAGUCUCUAUUCUUGAACUUGACCUGUGGUACAAUGAUUUUCCUAUGAGAUCUAUUGAGGUAUUUCAGUAGUUACUGACUUCUAAGACUACUUUUGUGCUUUUCGUUUG
RNAcentral lists this long non-coding RNA (498 nucleotides) under Lactuca sativa (garden lettuce). RNAcentral's name for it is "long non-coding RNA (LSAT_LNC003682)". The record is from RNAcentral. Lineage: Eukaryota; Viridiplantae; Streptophyta; Magnoliopsida; Asterales; Asteraceae.